ACUGACAACACUGGGUUGAUAGUAGAUAGGGUGGAGGAGUUGGAAAAUCAGGCUAGUGCUUGAAGAAGAAAAUAGGAACAGCAGAUGAGGAAGUCAGCUGAGGGAUGGUUGCCAGUGUUGCCUGAUUGUGGAAAGUAUAUAACCUGGGAAAACAUUGCCCACAGGCUGAUGUGUAUGUUUGGGGGCAGUAUGUCCCCUAGGUCUCCAUGUCCACUCACGUCUUGUUCCUUAUCUUUUCAGAUUAAGGUCGAGGAAGACUUUGGCUUUGAAGCAGAUGAGGCCUUGGAUUCAAGUUGGGUUUCCCGAGGGCCAGACAAAUUGCUACCCUACCCUACCCUAGCUAGCCCACCCUUUGACUAACCCUGUCUCCCCAAUAAACAGAUUCCCCAUGUACA
RNAcentral lists this long non-coding RNA (395 nucleotides) under Rattus norvegicus (Norway rat). Its description in RNAcentral is "long non-coding RNA NONRATT000270". The record is from RNAcentral. Lineage: Eukaryota; Metazoa; Chordata; Mammalia; Rodentia; Muridae.